ACUCAAAUGAAUAGACGGGGGCCCGCACAAGCAGCGGAGCGUGUGGUUUAAUUCGACGCAACACGAAGAACCUUACCUAGGCUUGACAUGGUACUGCAAGCCGGCGAAAGCCGGUCGCCUUCGAGGGUGUACCACUGGUGCUGCAUGGCUGUCGUCAGCUCGUGUCGUGAGAUGUUGGGUUAAGUCCCGCAACGAGCGCAACCCUUGCCCGAUGUUGCACGUAUCAUCGGGGACUGCCGCUGGUCACCAGCGGAGGAAGGCGGGGAUGACGUCAAGUCCGCAUGGCCCCGACGUCUAGGGCUACACACACGCUACAAUGGCCGGAGGAGUGCGUUGCGACCUGGUAACGGGGAGCUAAUCGCCAAGGUCGGUCGUAGUGCAGAUUGGGGGCUGCAACUCGCCCCCAUGAAGGCGGAGUUGCUAGUAACCGCGUGGCAGCAUAGCGCGGUGAAUACGUACCCGGGCCUUGUACACACCGCCCGU
This 483-nucleotide ribosomal RNA is filed under the name uncultured bacterium. RNAcentral's name for it is "partial 16S ribosomal RNA". It matches the Rfam family "Bacterial small subunit ribosomal RNA", at positions 899 to 1397 of the family's 1533-position model. The record is from RNAcentral.